RNAcentral lists this ribosomal RNA (1361 nucleotides) under uncultured prokaryote. Its description in RNAcentral is "bacterial SSU rRNA". It matches the Rfam family "Bacterial small subunit ribosomal RNA", at positions 57 to 1422 of the family's 1533-position model. The record is from RNAcentral.
GCAAGUCGAGCGUGAACCCUACGAAUGAAACUUCGGUAGAUUUUGCAGGGGGAAAGCGGCGGACGGGUGAGUAUCGCGUAGGUAACCUGCCCUAUACUGGGGGAUAGCCUCGGGAAACCGGGAUUAAUACCUCAUAAAGCCAUGCUUUUGCAUGAGAGUAUGGCCAAAGAUUUAUCGGUAUAGGAUGGGCCUGCGUCUGAUUAGCUGGUUGGUAGGGUAACGGCCUACCAAGGCAACGAUCAGUAGCCGACCUGAGAGGGUGAUCGGCCACAUUGGAACUGAGACACGGUCCAAACUCCUACGGGAGGCAGCAGUGGGGAAUAUUGCACAAUGGGCGAAAGCCUGAUGCAGCAACGCCGCGUGAACGAAGAAGGCCUUUGGGUCGUAAAGUUCUGUCCAAGAGGAAGAUAAUGACGGUACUCUUGGAGGAAGCCCCGGCUAACUACGUGCCAGCAGCCGCGGUAACACGUAGGGGGCAAGCGUUAUCCGGAAUUAUUGGGCGUAAAGGGUGCGUAGGCGGCUUCUUAAGCGUGGGGUGAAAUGCAAUAGCUCAACUAUUGUAAGCCUUGCGAACUGGGGAGCUUGAGUGCAGGAGAGGAAAGCGGAAUUCCUAGUGUAGCGGUGAAAUGCGUAGAUAUUAGGAGGAACACCAGUGGCGAAGGCGGCUUUCUGGACUGUAACUGACGCUGAGGCACGAAAGCGUGGGUAGCGAACAGGAUUAGAUACCCUGGUAGUCCACGCCGUAAACGAUGAGCACUAGGUGUCGGGGUCGCAAGACUUCGGUGCCGCAGUUAACGCAUUAAGUGCUCCGCCUGGGGAGUACGCACGCAAGUGUAAAACUCAAAGGAAUUGACGGGGACCCGCACAAGCAGCGGAGCAUGUGGUUUAAUUCGAAGCAACGCGAAGAACCUUACCAGGGCUUGACAUCCCUCUGACAGAUCCGUAAUGGGAUCCUCCCUUCGGGGCAGAGGUGACAGGUGGUGCAUGGUUGUCGUCAGCUCGUGUCGUGAGAUGUUGGGUUAAGUCCCGCAACGAGCGCAACCCUUGUCAUUAGUUGCCAUCAGGUUAAGCUGGGCACUCUAGUGAGACUGCCGGGGAUAACUCGGAGGAAGGUGGGGAUGACGUCAAAUCAUCAUGCCCCUUAUGUCCUGGGCUACACACGUGCUACAAUGGCCGGAACAAAGAGCAGCGAACUCGCGAGGGUGAGCGAAACUCAAAAUCCGGUCCCAGUUCGGAUUGCAGGCUGAAACUCGCCUGCAUGAAGUCGGAGUUGCUAGUAAUCGUGAAUCAGAAUGUCACGGUGAAUGCGUUCCCGGGUCUUGUACACACCGCCCGUCACACCACGGAAGUUGGGGGCGCCC